This is an RNA transcript of Schistocerca cancellata (South American locust), 2937 nucleotides long. RefSeq lists it as uncharacterized. The transcript is spliced from 4 exons. NCBI's taxonomy places the organism in Eukaryota, Metazoa, Arthropoda, Insecta, Orthoptera, Acrididae. The record is from RefSeq and is a predicted model, not a curated record.
CACUAACUGUCCAUCAAAAAUGACAGUGACAAUUCACACUGUGCAUGAUAGAUACAGAGGUAAGUCUGUAGAGAAAGCAAUGCUCUACAAGGAAAUGCCGUGUGAGGUUAACUUGGUGUUGGGUCAUAACCACAGUGUUGAGAGUGCUGCUGCUUUAAGAUUUAGGCAACCAUCAAGUGAUGUCAAAGAAAAAUUAAUAUCCCUGUUUGAAAGAGGUCAUUCACCAGCCACUGCUCUUGAGUCAAUAAAGGUUGAAAUUCAGCUGAAUUGUCCAGAUUACCCUUUAGUCCUCGCAGACAGAAGCAGGUGUCCUGAUUACAACUUUUGCCACUAUUUGUUCAACAAAGUUUUUAAGAAAAAGUAUGGGCCAACAGACUUCAACAAAGAAGGAAAGCAGCUGUUACAGCAGAGGUUAGAGGAAUACAACAGCGAAGUUGGAGCUGUGUGUGCCAAGAUGAUUCAGAAAGAUGAUGAUUAUAUAGUAUGGUAAGAGUAUAUUUACAAAUUUGUAGUCUGAUGAAAACUUUAUGCAUAUACAUUUAGCUACUAUUAAUAUUUGUAUAAUUGUUUUUCAGCAUUUGCUCACCACUGAUGCAACAAGUCCAUACUCACGUAAAAGCUGCUUCCAAACUUGUAUUUAUGGAUUCCACUGGUUCUCUGGAUCAUGAUAGCAGCAGAGUGUUUGUUUUACUUACAGUGAGUGUGGAGGUUUACCACUAGGAGUUCUGAUUAUGUCUUCAGAAAGCUGCGGAGUUAUAGAAAUGGGACUAGAGUUGCUGAAAGAGAUAGUGGGGGAAAAUAUUUUUGGGGGAAACAUCAAUGGCCCAAGUGUGUUUCUGACUGACGACAGCCAGUCAGAACAAAAUGCAAUUAGAAGGUGCUUCCCAAACACAAAAACUUUGUUGUGUAUAUUCCAUGUCCUGCAGGCAGUGUGGCGCUGGCUUCUAAAAACAAAAAAUGCUAUACCACAGCAAAAACAGUGCGAGUUCUUCCAGAAUUUCAAAAAAAUAAUGUUUGCACAAACAAAAAAUGAAGCAGUGGUAAACUAUAAUGUAACAAGAGCGAACAUCGGUGAAAAUCAUCAAAAUUUAUUGAAAUUCUUGAACGGGUAUUGGGAUAGGAGAGAACUGUGGACCCUUUCACAUCGGCGAGGUAUGCUUAUAGAAGGGCACAACACAAAUAAUAUAAGUGAGGCCUUCAUGAGAAUUUUAAAGGACAGGAUUUUUGAGAGGGUGCGUGCCUUCAAUGUGGUUCAGAUGGUGGACUUUUUUCUCACAAAGGUGAAUUUGUAUUUUCAGAGGAGACUUCUUGAUGCUGCUAAUGGAGCAAGUCCUAAGUCUUUCUGUAGGCCUAUAAAGGCCCCUUCACAGGAGAUUCUAGGAAAAAUCAGACAAGUCAAUGAGGAUGUUCUGCUCAUUCCCAGUGAAGAAAGGCAGAAUCAUUAUUACAUUGUUAAUAUGGCUGUUCUUGUUUGCACUUGUUGCCAAGGCAAUACAGGGAGGAUCUGCAAACAUAUAGACUGGGGCAGUACUGUUUUACCAUCAGGAAACUACAAGGAGGUGACUGAUAGUGACAGUAUACGUAGACUGUAUUAUUUUAUUGCUACAAAUGAGGAGCCUCCUGAAGGGUGGCUAGAGCCUCUGUAUUGCUCUCAGAAUGCAGGGGCUUCAAGUUCUUCGGAACGUUUGGAGCAAAUGGACACAGGUUUGCUCUGUGAAAGCCAAGAAGAGAUGCCAGAGACACUUCGCAUGGAGACAGUUCCAGACAAAAGAAAUAAUGAUUUAAUCGACGAGAUAAAAGCUCGUCUCAUAGAUUUUUCAAAUAAAUCCCCUGAGGAAAUGAGGAAAGGCCUUGAAGUCAUGUGCGAAAUAUUGAGAAAGCUUAAAACGCCAUCUGCAUGUGCAUCUUAUUUGGCAAAUUUUGGUGAAGGAAAAUCUAGAAAAAAUCGUGGUAACUAUAUUCCCGUUCAGCCCACUGCAAUAAGCAGAAGAAAAAACAAGUUGGCAGGUCGCAGAUGUCAUCCGGGGGGAAGACAAAGACCACACUCUAAGCAAAGCAAGGAAUUUGUAAAGACAGUAAAAAUUUCUGAAAUGGUUUGAGGGAGCACUGCUGGACAUACAGUGCUAUUGGCUAACUUGCAUAAAUUUAAUACUGUGUGCUAAUGGUGGUGUAAAGACUGAAACAAUCCACAAAAGAAAUAAGAAAUUGCAACUGAAAACUGCCUCCAGACUGACCUCACAUCCAGUAUUGAUAAAGGCUACCUUUCCAUCACCAGCUACGCAAUCAUCCCAGUCAGCUUCAGACUUUUGAAGAAGGUGCGCGACUAUUUACUGCAGCAUAGUGUGUAGGAUUUUCUUAAUCUGAGAUCCAACGUAAUGGAACUAUUAAGGGAUUGAUUGUAGUAAUUAAGUUUUUUCUUAAAGCUCAGGCCUAGCCUGACUGCUGAAAUAUAUUAAGUUUUUUUGUUGUAGCUCGGGUCUGACCCGAUUAUUCCCGGCAGGGUCAGGGAUUUUCUCUGCCUCGUGAUGACUGGGUGUUAUGCGAUGUCCUUAGGUCAGUUAGGUUUAAUUAGUUCUAAGUUCUAGGGGACUGAUGACCAUAGAUGUUAAGUCCAAUAGUGCUCAGAGCCAUUUUCUAAUCCGAUUAUUGAAAUAAGUUUUUUCUUAAAGCUCAGACCAAACUUACUAUUGAAAUAUAGAAGUUCUUCUUUAAAUUGGGAUAUCCCAACAAUGUGGAUACUUAUUGUGUAUGUUGCACAAGUUUCUGGGAAAUGUGAAUUAUCUUUUCUUAAAAUGUAAACUACAUUUUAUAUUCUGCAUAUGACUUUUUUUUAUUUACAUCUGUUCCUUCAGGUUACAUGUAGCUUAUUUAAUUUGUCAUAUUAUGUCUGCUUUCUGAAGUUGUUCUGUCAGCUGAUAAUGAAAAAUGUUUCCUGCA